This is a long non-coding RNA of Lepidothrix coronata (blue-crowned manakin), 4213 nucleotides long. RefSeq lists it as uncharacterized. Lineage: Eukaryota; Metazoa; Chordata; Aves; Passeriformes; Pipridae. The transcript has 3 exons. The record is from RefSeq and is a predicted model, not a curated record.
CCUGGGGAUAAAAAAAAAAAAAGGAAGGUGGGAGAGGGAAAAGUUACUUUUCAAGGUCAAAACGGGAAAAAGAGGCUGCCACUCCAAAUGAAAAGGCCUCGUGUAAUUAAAAACGCAUUCAACAACCUUUAUUAAUAAAUACAGAGGGGGGGGAAACUCGUGUGAGACCAAUCCCAGGCAGCACAGAAAUAUGUAAAUAUCUCAGCGUGGCUGGAUCUCGUAUCUCCAGAGAAUGAGGGCUUCUAUAAGUUUGCCCUUUCCAGACAGGCUCUUCAAGUAAGAAAACAAGAUUGAAUAUUUUAAUAGGAUGUACGAGGCCACGGAGCCGUAAGGAGGAUUCAAUCACAGCCUACGUGGGACUGUAAUUUAGUUUUCAUACAUUUUCUUGGACAGCACUUGAAAAACAAUGAAAAUGACCCAGCAACAAGAUUCCAAUUAAUAUCCCACGUGCAGCAAUUGUGAUAACAGGAGCAAAUUUCCCUUUAAAAAAAAAAAAGGGAAAAAAAAAAGUGGGGCUGGUGUUAUCUUUAAUUUUAGAACCAGGGUAACCUGAGCUGGGGGAGAGGUAUUUCUGCCUUAUUUUGUAUAAAUGCAUUUUCUGAAGCAGCAGCCUUUUGUCAGGGGCUGCACACACAGAGCAGGGUGUUGAUUACAUGGGGGGGUGGGAUUUUCCCUUGCAAGAACAGUAACAACCCCAGGGUUAUGAGUGAGAACCAAGUGAUCCCAUUGCCUCAAACCACCCUAAAGGCAUUCUGGAAAACCCAAAGGGGAUUUUCUCCAGAACAGGCUCCCCUCUCCAGGUCUCCAGGCCCUUCUCCUUUACACGUUCACUCAUUUCUUACAUCCCCAGCAAUGUGAGAAAGCUCAAACACAACAUGUGCACACUGGGAGACCCCAAAAAAACCACCAAAGACAGCAAGAGCUGCUGUGUUUGCAGGCAAAACCCCAGAGUGCUGUUCCUUUACAGCCUGCCUUGGCCUUUCCCACUGCAGGAGAACCCAAGGAGAAUUCCUCAGGUUUCUCAUUUUGGUGAGUUUGACACUGUCCUGUGGGUACAGGAGUUCAGGGAUAGAUGCUGAAUUUGCUCCAAUCCCACAGAUUUUAAACAAACAGCCAUUUUUCAGGCAAGCAGGGCCCGGGGAGAUCUCAGGUGAGGAUUUGUCUCUGCUGGCAGAGGAGUGUUUGCCAGCACAGACAGGUUGUGACGUGGACACUCCAGGUUUUGGGGGGCACAGGGGGCUCCCCUGCACCCCACAGCCUCAUCCUCCCAGGCACAGCAACCUCUGAGGAAGCAGAAAUCCAAGUGGAGCUGUUUGGAUAACACAACAUGGACAGACACCCCAGCAGAGUGACAGGAGGAGGAGGGAAAUCAGGCUCCCUUUCUUUUACAGCCUCUCCCCUCAGCAGGAUUCAACCAUGCAGAGAGUAAAACUCAUCAAUCCUCCAGGUUUAACCUUGUCUCUGUUUCAAUUCACCAGGAUAUGAAACAUCAGACUUGAGCCACUGAGUUGUAACAACCCCACUGCAAGUGUGUCACCUGCAGCUGGAGGAAAGGUGACUUUAGCACAAAGAGGGUCUGGAGGCAGCAUGUGCUGAGGAAUAACCUGUGCAGGUAAUUAAGAGUACUCACACCUCAGGUGGGGAGUGUGGAAGAAGCAGGUCGAUACAGGGGUCUUCCUUGAAUUAAAAUUUAACUUACCCUUUAUUGCAACCUACAAAAGCAAGUAAUGAGCACUAACAUUUUUAUUUCUUUUAAACUGUCAUUUAGGCUGUAGAGGGGAUAAUUACCUAUUUCCACUGUAGUAAGGUUUUAUCACCCUUAGUGAGGCAUUUUCUAAUUUAAUAUUUUUACUGUAUUAUCAUAAAACCUGUUUCUGGAAAAAAAUGAUCACGGACCACGGAGCCAUUUGCCAUAAAACAUGUGUGUGUAAGUACCUUGGCUUAAUUAUUUAUGCAUUUCUUCUGAGCUGGCUCCAGAGCCAGGGGACAGCACAGGCACUGUGUCACCUCCCCACCACGAAAACUGGGCUUUUCAGGUCAACAAUAUUGUUUUAAAAUAUGAAAUAAAAGGAGCAGCUACUCCAGGUGGUGAGCCUGGUGUGCUAAAUGCCCACUGGGCUUUUCUCCCCCUCCAAACCCCAGGUAUUGCUGCUACACACAUUUUAUAGGCAAAAUCCCUGCAACAGAGACCAAGGAAACACACACAGAGUGAAUAUUAAUUGCAACAGCACAUUUCAUAAAUCUAUAUGAAUCUUCAAAAUUCUAAACAGAUCCCCAGGAAGGUGCUUUGCCCACCAAAUGUACAAAGGGAAACCAAAUGUGUACCUGCACGUGGGAAAAGCCAGUAUUGUACCACUCUGUGUAAUUAUAGUCAUUUUUCUAAAUACAGUUCUGUGAACUAACAGAAGAACAAUAUUAUGGGGGAAAAUUCAGUUUCUGGUGGCUUUUUUUUUAUUAUUAUUAAAAUGGCAAUAGUGCUCUUCUAGUAAAAAUACCCUCCAACCAAUGUCUCUGCCUUCUCCCUUGUACCUUUUACUUCUUCUUCCUCUACCCAAAAAAAAAAGAUAAUUUAGAAAAUGCCACAAGCAGUACUGAAAUGACUAUAUAACCCACUCCUCCACUGGGAACGAUGAAUUCUUAAUUCACAAAAACUGGAAAAAGACAGAACAUGAACACCCAUGAAGAAAGGGAGCACGAAAGAAUGGAAAACACACGACUCCUGAUGAAAACUGAAGCUGGCAGAUUGUUUCCUUGGAAAACUUUCUGUCUGUACCCUAAGAAAUGUUUUGUCCAGUGGUGUGAAAUUCAGGUUACUCAGUGUCCAGCAAGCUGGGCAGGUACCAGGAAGAUAAAAUAAAGCUGAAGCUUUUUUUUUUUCUUAAUGAUUUUUUUAAAAUGAUUUUUCGUAAAAAUGAUUUUUUUUUUCUUAAAAAAUGGAAUAAAAGGAGUGGCUACUCCAGGUGAGCUUGGUGUGCUAAAUGCCCAGUGGGUUUUACCCCCCUCCAAAUCCCAGGUAUCGCUGCUACACGCACCCUAUAGGCAACAGGAAAGAGACCAGGAAGAUAAAACAAGCUGAGACCAUUUAUUUUUUUAAUUUCUAGAGAAAGGCUAAAGCAGCCUUAAUUUCCAGUCAAACCCCAAACCAGCUGGGUGUGGGGUUUGGCUCUGUAUUCCCACCCCUUCCCACUCCGGCUCUGCGGGGACAAGCCCUUGGGGUGCUGGGUGACGUGGGGAUCCCAAAAGCAGGACUCAGACCCCCUGGAGUGGCACAGGGAGGGCCCCGGGGCUCUGUGUCCAGCCCCACGAGAUGGCACUCACUCCCUUCCCAAGCCCUGAGUGCUCAGCUCCGGCUGCAUCCCCCCUGCCCGCGCUCCAGGGGGGCUCACAAAGGUCUCCUGCAAUUCCCUCCAGCCCAGGAGGGUCAGGAUCGGGCCCCCCCCCUUCCCCCGAGCCUGUGCAAAUGCUUUUAGCCCCACGGCUUUGAAUUAUGGAAGGUGACAUGUGACCUCUGGCUCGUCUCCUGAGAGCAGGCACAGGAUUUAUAAAUGUUUCAGAAAGCUGGUUCUUGCCCUAAACAAAGGGACUCUGCACGUUUUGAGAGGCUGGAUCUGGGAAUGUGGAGUGGGAGGGCAGCAGAGAGAUGGAGGGCUGGUGCCCAAGGUACCAUUCCCCAAACACAACCAGACCUGGGGUUCAUCCCUGCUGCCCCUGCCACCAAUUCUGAACGUUCCCCUCACCCCAGCCUUGAGCUCAGGGUACCACUGAUGGAGCACAGAUGGACCCUCUCUCAUCCUGACUUUGGUCCCAGUUGCAUUUUCGUAGGAGCUUUUACAGCACAAAGCAUAAAAGAUGUGGGCAAAUUGGCUGGAGAGGCAGCAAAACACAGGGAUGUGCAGGCAACUCCAGCUUGCUCCUCUGGUAUGUGUUCCAGCAGCUGGAAUUUCCCCAGGAAUUACAUCAGAUGCCCUCUCAGUCAGUUUUUGGAUGGGUAUUUGAGCAGAGCAGCCUCUGAUGCUGCAUGGGAAAUGCCCUGUGCAGGAGAGCAGGAGGGGACCAUUCUUUGUGCCCCUUAAUGCCCCAUAUUCCUGGGAUGAUUUCCCUCUUUCACAGCUUGCCUGUUUUAUAACAGAUUUGAUGCAGGAGAAGACAAAUUGUCUCACAAAGGAAAGACGACAAAUCAUCUCGCAGCCCUUUAACAGGUUAUUUUUUUUCC